This 15698-nucleotide long non-coding RNA is filed under the name Gossypium raimondii (Peruvian cotton). RNAcentral's name for it is "long non-coding RNA (GRAI_LNC009518)". Lineage: Eukaryota; Viridiplantae; Streptophyta; Magnoliopsida; Malvales; Malvaceae. The record is from RNAcentral.
GUGCAUGAGAACUGUAAACAGUGAUUCAACGUGUUGUUCUUCUUCAUAUCCAGGGCCUCCAUCUUCUCUGCCUUUCCCAAAGUAUCUUGUGUUGAACAUCGUCCUCCUUAUCACGUUCCCCGUAUAUUGCCUCACUGCUAAUCUCAGGUUUAUAACACCGCCAUGCAUGUUUUCAUGGUUUAUGCAUUGGUUGUAAAUGAACCUAACAAGGUUAUCAGCUUCUUGGGUUCUUUUAUGGAGUAACCAGCUAAGCCUUGCUGGGUUUAUAACGUUGGAAGCUAUCACUUUUCUCAUUUUCUUCCAUUGAUCACCCCAUGGCACCAAAGCUGACGACAAGAAACCUCGAGUAGCAUACUCGGCCGCCAUCGUUUUCGGCCUGGAAGCGAAAACAAAAUCAUGUUUCUUCAAGAAUUCUCUAGCGAUUUCGGGGGAAGUAACGGUGAUGACGUGAACGUGUCCGAGGCGGAUACAAGCGAUAUCGGUACCGAGCUGUUUCAUGAGGCCGAGAAUCCACCUGAAGACUGGUUUGUUUUGCCAGAUUACAGGAAGGUUCCGAAUGAUGGGCCAUGGAAUUGGUCCCGGAGGGAGCGGUGGUUGUUUUCUAGUGGUAAUACUGCCUUUUAGUUUGACAACCACAAGGGGUGCAAAGACAAGCAGCAUUAAAACAAGUGGUAAAGGAAGUGAAACAAGCAGUGUAGAGAUAACAGCCAUAUCAUGGGAUCUGUUCCAUGAAGGCAGCUGAUAAAUUUGAUAGGAAGUAUUGGUGAAAGAGGAGUAAUCCAUGUCUUAAAAAUAACAACUGGAUUUAAUGUUACAAGUUACUGUCUUCUGCUUGCCUGAACAAAACGAACAUGGUCAGAGCUACAUAGAGCGACAUGGAGCAAGAGUCCUUUUGUGAGCACAAUUUUUGCCACAUUUUUAUUCUAACCUUUUUCUGGUGGCAUGCAUCAUCGUACAUUUAUCGUAGUUGCGUCUAAAACUACGCGACAUUGUUCUUCAUUCUUAAUUAUUUUAAAUUUCAUUUUUGCAUUCUUUAAAUUUUAUUAUAAAUUGUAACUCAUUCUUCUUUUAUAAUAAAAGCGUUUUCCUCAUUAAAAUUGUAAUUUAUUUUUAAUUUAUAUAUUAGAAAAUAAAAUAAAUGGAAUUAUAAUAAUAAAAAUAAAAUAACUCAAUUCAUAAUAUUUUUCAAUUCAUAGAAUAGAAAAAUAAAUAUCAAUUAGUCUAAUAGUUAAGCUUUUACAAUUCUUAAAUGAACUUUUAUUUUUUCAUUGAUUUGGUUUUCUUUUCUUACUUGAUAUAUUGAAUUCGAAUAAUAAAAUUUGAAAAAUAUUAAAAUUUGUUUUAAAAUUUGAUGAUACACGAUAUCAUCAGUAGUGGAGAAAGAGAGAAAAUGUGUUCUGGUGAAGGAGCAAAGAAGAAAAAGAUAACAAAAAUGGAGUGCAUGAACUACCGUCCCUCAAAGAGGGUAUUUAGAAAUAUAUAUAUAUAUAUAUAUAUAUAUAUAUAUAUAUAUAUAUAUAUAUAUAGGGGUUGAUAGGAUUGGACUUCACGCUAGGUUAUUAUAUAUUUUAUUAUAAUUAUAUAACAAAUGUACGAUGUCAAUAUCAUAUAUAAUAUUAUCUAAGCCUAAUUUAUGUUGAAACAUGAGCCUCAAAUUUUGUAAAAAUUUAUCCAUAUUUGUAAAUGAUUAACUCAAACUCGUUUAGGCUUGCUCAUAUUUUUUUUAAUUUUAAAAUAUAAUAAUUAAUUAUAUAUAUUUACUACCAUUAUAUGCAUUUCAUUUAUUAAAUUUCUAAACAUAAAUAACUUAAUAUACUUUUAGUAUUUACAUUAUAGUACAAUAUAUUUAAUUCUUUAUAUGCUAUAAAUUAUAUAUAUAAAUUAUAUAUAUUCUUUACAUUAUAGUACAUAUUUGAAAAUUAGUCGAGCUGUGUCAAACUUGGGUUUAAUAAGUUCAAUCCAUAUUUUAAUUGAACCUAAUUUUUUCUGUCCAAACUUAAUUUUUUUUAUCUUAAAAUUUUUGCAGAAACCCUCCCAAAAUUUGAAAAAGCCUUUGGAUUUAGACGAAUAAUCCAAUCCUUUCAAAAAAAUUUAUUUAAAUCUAAUUUUUUAAUUAUACUAUACAUAUUAUAUUUAUUAUAUAAUUUAUAUAUACAAAAAUAAAUAUUAAAAGUUAAUCCAUCAAAAAGUUAAUUUUUUGGUUUAAUACUUUAGAUAUGAUCGAAAAAUAUUAUGAUGAAUUUAAUUUAAAUUUUAAGUUAUUAUUACAAUUUUAUUUUCUUUUAAUUUCUAUUCUUUUUCAAGUAAUAUAUAAUUUAAAAAGGAAAAUGUUUUACAACCUCAAAAAAUAAAAAUAAAAAUUGUGGCAUUAUCUUAUUACAGGGGGCAUUGAGUGGGGCAGGGAAUUUUAUUGUGUCUCCAAUUUUUGCAUUAUUAGAAAGAGAGAGAGAGAAAGACAUUUGUGAGCACAUUUUUUCCACGCAUAAUAGUAUUUUUACCAUAUUUCGAACUUAAAGUGGAUGUUAUUCUUUGCCUAUAAUCUAAAGUUUUCUAUCAAAUUUGUUCCCUAAUUGAAUGAGAAUUUUAAAUUAAACAAAUAGAAUGUAUGGUUGACAACUAAUAUGGUUUAUUGAAAAUGACUGAAGGCUAAUAAUGUCAUUUUGAAGGGAUAAUAAAAAAAAUGAAAUAAUAAAUAUUAGAAAUUUUAUGGUAUGUGUAUGUGUAAUGGGGCUACAACUUUAGUCUCGUAAUCCGUACGACCUUAGGUAAUUUCUUAGGUUUAAAUUCACUUAAGUCAGUCUAACUCUCGAAAAGUAAAAAUUUGCAGUAGAAAUUUCUACCAAUAAUAAAGAGGAAGCAAGUAAAAAACAGACGCAACGAGAGAACAGAAAAAGGCACAAGAAAGCAACGCCCACAAGGUGUCUAAAUAAAUGCUCUCAAAUUUUUCUAUUACUCAAGAAUGAAGUACAAUGGGAUGAUUAUAAAUGAGGGGGAAGACCUCUAUUUAUAUUCGAGCUCCCUAGAUCUAAAGGUACAGUUUACUUUACAACAAUGGUUGAAAUUAAAGCUUAUCUAAAAUUGAAAUUUUUAAGAGGUUUACAUAAUCCUCUAAGAUUACAAAAUCAAAUCUUAUAAGAUUAAAAAUCUUCUAAGAUUAGUUUCUAUAUUUACCAUUACAAAUCUUCUAAGAUUAGUUUCUAUAUUUACCAUUACAAAUCUUCUAAGAUUAGUUUCUAUAUUUACCAUAACAAUCUUUAUUUUCCUUAAGUGCUUCACUAGGCCACCAAAACUUUAAGUAGGUGGGUUUCUCUACAUGUUCCACGAAUCUGGUCAGUUCAAGUGGGUCGAAUGAGCCUCAUUUAAUCAAUUGACCUCCAAAGGAUGUUCAUUAUGCAUUUGUCACGAACUUUGAUUUGGGACCUAUGACAUUCUACCCACCCAUUCUCACGGCGCCUUAGUUGCGUCUUUAUGACGACACUGGUUUGACUUGCCUCGAAAUUUUCUCAAUGCCUCGGCCAUUUCCCAACUAGCCCAUUUGUUAAGUAGUUUCGUCAUUCAAAACAUUUGCCACAGCUUCUUUCGUCGCCUAACUCGAACUAUUCCUCUCCUUAAUACAUUUCGUUUGCAAGAGUCCACUAAUCUUACUUUCCUACAUUAUGACUUGCCUCGAUGGGGAUCCUCUUGAUUUGCACAAAUAGGCUCCAACAUACCUAUAUUAAACACUAGGUUAACCUUGAGUAUUACUGCCAACUCUAUUUAUAUGCCCCCUGGCUUACCUGGUUCAGAACUUUGUAAGGGCACCUGUGUCUUUGCUAAGCCAACGGUAAAUCAUAAUGCAAAACACUAUAUAAAUGUUUGAGAUGUACCUCACUUGUUGCGUUUACUCUUUCUGACUACAUUAGUUUGCAUCACCACUUCCCCUCAAAGUUUGAUGCAUAACCCACUUCUCUGAUAGGCAAUAACCCCACUGAUAGCUUAACAAGCUUUAUAUCAUUUUACCCCACCUCUAUCAUUUCUAAGGGGGUCUUCGUAGUACUCUAAUCUACCAAGUUGAUGUUCUCAACACAAUGAACAUCUUCGACUAGCUAGAUUGCAGACAGUACCUUGGUUCCACCCAUCUCUUCAUAACUUACUAACACAACACAUUGUUGUUGACGAGUAUCCAAUAUACAAAUACAAUCGGAAAAAAGAACCAACAAAAAUAUAAUCCUGUCAAAGAAAUUUAAGCUAAGCCCGAAUUCAUAAUCAUUUAAGUGAAUUACCUCAAAAUCUUCCUUGUCUUUCUACUCGCCAAUUUGUAGCUCAACUCCUUAUGUUACUCCCACAGUUUAGACCUCUUUGGAAUUAACCGUCUUGAUCUUCUUAGUCGAUUUGCUAAUUGAAAGACCAAGUUUACCCGUAUCUUUUUCUAAUAUAAAAGAGUCAGAUGCCCCUGUAUUAACAAGGGGGUUCUUCUUUCGACCUACGAUGUUGAUGUCCACAAACAUCAACCCUUUCUUCUUGUGGUCCUUCACUUUAGUAGAUUUGAGUAUCAUUUAUCCAAGAUUCAAUAACCUUUCUUUACCGGGCUCUACUUUCUCUUCUUUGUUGAUCGCAACAAACUCAGAUCACUAUGGACAAUACCACACCUUAUGUGAUCCAUAAUAUAAGAAGUAUUGUAUCUCACUGUACUUUUCAUUCGGCUAGUUGUUGGGUUUCCCCUUUUGAUUAUGUGGUUUCCUAGUGCCACUAUUAGCGUUGUUAUACUCUACAUUUCCUUCUUCAUCUUCCCUACUAUUGUCUUUUUCUUUGGGCUUGAAAGACUCGAACUUGUCUUUCUUUGGAACAAGCUCGAUUAAAGACUCUACCAGGAUCAUGGUUUUGGAAAGUUCUUAAACCCCUCGACAUUGCAAUUCCUAUUUUACCUACAACUUCAACCCAUCCAUGAAACAGUAGAAUGCUUCUUUCUCACUUAAAUUCGUGGAACAUCAGUUUAUUGAACUCUUUCACAUACUCCCUAAUUGUGCCUUGUUAUGAGAACUGAUGCAAUUUAGCUUAACCCUUCUUCUCAGCAUAUUAUGGGGAAAAUUACUCCUUGAAUUAUUUUCGAAACUCUUCUCAAGUCUUAAUUGUGGCCUAAUAACAACUUUUAUCUACAGAAUUAUAACACCACAACAAUAGAGUAAAAUUAGUAAAAUAUCUAGAAACAAUAUUUACAUUUGCAUCAUUAUCCUUGAUGAAGUAUUGCUCUAUCUCUCAUUAGUUUCGUCUACUGGUUGUCAAGUUAUUCGAUAUUUGUCUAAGGUUUAACGAUUUUGUGGGGAGAUUCAGAUCUAAUGAUUGUUUUGUUAAGGGGUAAAAUGGAGGAGGAUCUGGCCAACUUGAAUAUUUCUGAGGAAGAAAAAGCUCCAUCCUAAGGGCAAGGUAAUGUAGAUGUGAUUGAAGAGGAUUACAAGUCUUUUUUUUGUGGGGAGGGUGCUAACGGAUAGUGUGGUGCACUUUCUUUCAAUGAGGAAUACGCUUGCAGAUCUAUGACAUCCAUUGGAAGGAGGUACUAUUUCAGAUAUUGGGGAAAAGAGGUACUUGUUCCUAUUUUAUUAUGAGAUAUAUCUGAAGAGGGUGAGUGAAGGUAUGUCAUGGACAUUUAAAAGACUUUUGAUUAUUUUUCACAAACUAGAGCAAGGGGAGGACCCUUUAGAAGUGCCUUUAAAUUAUUUAAUUUUUUGGGUUUAGAUCCACAAUCUACCAAUUAGACUUAUGUCAAAGGGUAUGGCAUGCCAGUUUGGGAAUUUCAUUGGUACUUUUAUGGAGCAUCACAUUGCUUUGAUCUCAAGGGAGACCGGUAGGUUUAUGAGAAUACGAGUGAAAGCAGAUAUUCGGAUUCUACUAAAAUAGAAUAAGCGAAUUGUGUUGGAUCAGAAUUGUUCAGUUUAUGCUUAUUUUCAGUAUGAGAAAUUGACGUUGUUUUGUUUUGUGUAUGGGAAGCUUUGUCAGGGGGAGGGCUUCUGUUCGAUGCAGGUAACAUUUGCAACACAUGUGGUGGAGUUUAGGUGGGAUAUUUCAUUAAAGGCAGCAUCAAGGAGGGGCUAAUGAUUGUGAAUAAAUGGUUACAAAAUGAGACUUUAGGGAGGAAAUUUGGGUGGAAGGGGUGGAAGAGAUAAAAUUCCCAAAUCAGAUGAGUGUUUGGAGGGACUAAUUUGGAAGUGAGCAUAGAAUUGGGUUCGGACAUGAAGGAUAACCCUUUAGAGGUGGUUGAUGGAAAUAAGAAACAACGUACUCAUGCAGGGAAUCUGAAUGGUCAUAUUAAUGUGAGUUAGACAGAGUUGGGUAUUUCUAAUAAAUUAUCGGCUCUCGCUUUCAAGUAAGUCGAUCGAGAAGAAUGAAAAUUCUUAGUUAGAAUGUCUGUGGCUUGGGGCAUCCAUAGGCGAUUAGACAUCUUAAGAAUAAACUAAGACAGAUAAAGCCCCAAAUAUUGUUUCUAAUUGAAACAAAGCUAAGUGCUAGGAGAAUAAAGUGGAAUAAAGAAAUGUGUGAGUUUUCUAAUGGUAUAGAGGUUGAUGCGAAGGGCUCUAGAGGUGGAUUGCCUUUAAGUUGGAAUAAUGGGUGUAUUGUUCACCUAUGGAGCUACUCGAUUUCACAUAUUAACAUUGAGAUUGAUGAAGGAUAUGAAGUAGAUAAAUUGCGGUGUACUAGGUUUUAUGGGGCUCCGGAUGAGAGAAGAAGGGAUGAAUCAUGAAACCUUUUAAAAAUGUUAGGUACAGAUACUUCGUUGCCGUGGUUGGUGUUGGGAGAUUUUAAUGAGAACAUGUAUUCUUUCUAGAAGUAAGAGGGAUGGCUUAGGGAGGAAUAGAGAAUGAAAAGGUUUUAGAUGGCUAUUGGGGAGUGUGAUCUAAGUGACUUGGGGUUCUCAGGUUAAUGGUUUACUUAGGAAAGAGUAUGCCUACAAGAAAAUAAUGUGCGGGAAUAGUUGGAUUAGGGGGUGGCAAACUCAGCUUGGUGGGGACUUUUUUGGGGUUAUAAUGUUAAGCAUCUUACUUAUGUUUUUUCUGAUCAUUAUCUGGUGUUGGUUGAUACUAUAAGUAAUUAUAGGAGUUGGAUGGUAAGGGAACAAAAUUGGUUCCAACUUAGUGUUGAUUGGGUACUUGAGGAUACAUGUGAGGAAGAUAUUAAGAACUUUUAAGAGUCAUCUAGAUUGGGUGUUUCAACAAAGUUGGUGAAAUUUUGAAAGAAAUUAAGUAGGUGGGCAAAAGAGAAUCAUCAAUAGAGAAAGCUAAAUGUUACGGAGUUGAAUUCCUGGUUAGAGGAGUUGAAUUCAAUCGACCCCGAUAAAAGUUAUUUAAUGAAGUAAAAUUAAGUCAAACUUGCGCAAACUAUGGAAGCAGACAAAGAAGAACUUUUUUUGGGAACAAUGGGCAAGAGCAAACUGGCUCAAAUUUGGAGAAUAAAAUACAGACUUACUUUCAUAGAUGUGCAUCUUCUCGGAGGAAAACGAAUACUAUUAAGGGAUUGACAAAUUGUAAUGGGGUAUGGGUAACAGAAGACGAGAAAAUGGUUUGCAUAUUGUUGUUGGUAAUAAGGUAUCUUAGUAUUGUAUUGAUGUUCUAAAUGGGGUAAGAGAGGUUGAUAUUAUAAAUUUUACGAAUAUAGUUCUCAUACCUAAAGUAGGAAACCCGAAUGCAAUGUCACAAUUCAGGCCUAUUAGCCUUUGUAAUGUCUUUACAAGAUUUUAGCUAAGACGAUAGAUUAAGAAAGGUUUUAGAUGUCUGUAUUGAUGUGGCUUUAAGGGUAUUUGUCCCUGGAAGGUAGAUAUCAGAUAAUAUAAUUAUUGCAUAUGAGUUGCAUGCUUUAAAGAAGAAGAAGGGUGGUUCAAGGGGAUUGUUUACGUUAAAAUUGGAUAUGAGUAAGGCUUAUGAUAAGGUAGAAUGAGUUUUUUUGGAAAGAAUGAUGGAACGCAUGGGUUUUAAUAGGAGGUGGAUUGAGCUUGUGAUGAAGUGUGUGACAAUAGUGUCAUAUUCGAUUAUCUUUAAUGGGAUUUAAGGGGAUUUGUUUCGGCCUACUCGAAGACUAAGCCAAAGGGAUCCCUUAAGCCUUUAUUUAUUUUCAUCUAUGUAAAUGGGGCUAUCGAGCUUGCUUAAUUUAGAAAAAGAGAAGGGUUCGAUUUAGGGAGAAAGAGUGGGAAGGCAGGGUUUGACAGUGACUCAUUUGCUUUUUACUAAUGAUAGUAUUUUUUUGGUGAAGCAAGUGAAGGGGCAGCGAGUGCAAUGAAAGUUAUUCUAUUUGAGUAUGAAGGGGUUUUUGGCCAAGUAGUUAAUAUUGAUAAGUCACUUGUUUAGUUUAGCAGGAAUGUUGUUAGCACGUUGAAGAAGCAAAUUGGGGAUGUGCUGGUUGUUUGGGUUUCCAGUAAUCCAAAAAAGUACUUGGUUCUACCAACACUUAUUAAGUGAAGCAAGAACGAAGUGUUUGUUACUUUCAAAAAAAGGUUUCUCAAAUGCACAAAGAGUUGGAAUGUGUGACUCCUUUUUAAAGAGGAAAAAUGUAUUUAUUAAAUCAAUUUUGCAAUCAAUCCCGAUAUAUACUAUGUAGUUUUUUUAUUACCGAUUACUUUGCGUAAGGAAUUAGAGAGUAUUAUGAGUAAAUUCUAGUGGCGCAAUAGUAAAACAAAGAGGGGGAUACAUUGGUGCCAAUUGAAAUUAUUAUGUAUGUCGAAAUGUGGUGGUGGUUUAAGCUUUCGGGAUUUAGGCAAAUUUAAUAUCACAUUAUUGGCAAAACAUGCACGGAAACUAUUGACGAAGCCUAAUAACUUGUUUGCUCGUGUUAAGAGAGCUAAAGAAUGCUUCUUUCUCACUCAAAUUCGUGGAGCAUCACUUUACUAAACUCCUUCGCAUACUCCCUAAUUGUGCAUUGUUACGAGAACUGAUGCAAUUUAGCUUAAGCCUCCUUCUUAGCAUAUUAUGGGGAAAAUUGUUCCUUGAAUUAUUUUCCCUCCCAAGUCCUAAUUGUGGCUAACCACAACUUUCAUCUACAGACCUACACUGUCACCAUAAUGGAGUGAAAUUAGUAAAAUAUCUAGAAACAAUUUUUAUAUAUGCAUUACACCACCGUCCACUAUCAUGAACUCUAUCAUGCUCUAAUUACGAUUUUAGAUAUUUGGUCAAUUUUAAUUUAGGUCCUCAAGCUAUAUUUUUAAUUAAAAAUCUAUAACGAUUGAAUUUUACGAUUUAGUCCCUGGAUCCUAAUUAAACACAAUUUCAACUAAGUUACGUAACCCAAAUUCAAUUCACCUAUAUAAUAGCUCCGUAAAUAUUUACUCAGUUUACGGAAAAGAGGUCCCAAGACUACAUUUUUCGACACCACUAAUUUCGAGUUGUUGCAAUUCGAGUCAGGCUAAUGCAAAAUGUUAGGCUCGUUUUCUAAGCCUAAUCAAUUUGUUGGAGAAACUUUUAUUUUAUUGUGUUGUGUUUAGUGUAUUUGAUGUAUUAUAUUUUUAAAUUUUAUUUGUAUAUAAAAUAAUUUUAAAAAAUUAAUAGGGUGAACCAAGCCGAACUCGAGUUUAACAUUUUUAAUUUAGGUCAGGUUGAGCAGAAUUUUAGACCGAGCCUAGACCAAAAAAUCUUACCUGAGGUCCAACCCGUUUAGAAAACGAAUCUUAUGUUUUAUCUAAGCUUAUUUUUCAAGCUUAUAUGUUUAUUCAAAUUCUUUUGUNNNNNNNNNNNNNNNNNNNNNNNNNNNNNNNNNNNNNNNNNNNNNNNNNNNNNNNNNNNNNNNNNNNNNNNNNNNNNNNNNNNNNNNNNNNNNNNNNNNNNNNNNNNNNNNNNNNNNNNNNNNNNNNNNNNNNNNNNNNNNNNNNNNNNNNNNNNNNNNNNNNNNNNNNNNNNNNNNNNNNNNNNNNNNNNNNNNNNNNNNNNNNNNNNNNNNNNGUUCGAAAAAAUCCAUUUGUCAUGAAGCACUUGGUGACUAGACGAAGAGAACCAUUUCAAUAUUGUCUAAUUUUUCCUCAAAUAGGAAGAUUUUGAUGUCACCUCUCCUCCUUCCAAAACCUAACCUCCUUCUCCUGGACAGACCUCCUCUAUGUACCACUCACUGGCAACCUCAAAACCCUCCUCAUCCAAACAACCGGUCCCCCACCCCGCCAACUUCGGCGAUGGCAGCAUCACAAACAACCCAUCAACAAACUCCAUCACAAGCAACUUUCCCCCUUUCAAACGCCACAAUUUAUAUAAAAAAAAUUCAUUAUUUUUUAUAAAUAAAAAAUCAUAAUAAUACUAGUUCGGUAGCUUUUGUUGUUAGGGAAAUGCUGAAAUGAUAAUAAUAGAAGGAAAAAAUGGGUGGAGAUGGAGAAGAAGAUUAGGACGAUGUGCUUUUUUUUUUUUUCUGUUUUUGGUUAAAAUGAAGUUGCUUUUGUCAAGGAAGAAGAAAAUUAAAAAAUAAUAAUAUUUUUUAAUUAAAUGAAUGUAGUAAUUCCUCUUUAUUUUUAAUUAAUUUUAAAUAUAUUUUUAGAUUCUUUUAUAAUUUGUAAAUAAUAUUUUUGCUGUUAUGAAAGAAUAUAGAACAAAAUUUCAAGACAAAAAAAAACCUAUAAAAAAAGUGACAAAUUGAGAGGCUAAAUGAGUAUUUAAGCCUAAAAAAAAGGGUAAAACGAAAAGAGAAGCGCCAAAAUGUAAGGGAUAUCAGGGAUUAAUAGAGAAUUUCGGGUUUAUGCCAAAAUAAGGAAAAACUAAGAGAAUUGCGCAUUUAACUUCAUUUUAAAAGUGUACUUUUCAAUCAUUAAUCUACUUUCUAGGGUACCUUUGGAACACUGAUUUUGCUCCAGCGCAGUGCGUUUAAUCACCUUUUUGGAGUAAUCGUACUAGUGCUCUCUAUUUGGAUGACAAACUUCAGUACAGUAAGCUUACGUGACCAUCAGUGAAAUAAAAAAUUUUCACCAGUGAAAAAAGUUACAGUUAAAUCUCACUGGAGUUUACUUCCUAUUUUUAGACCUAGUAAGUAGCAGCAACACACACGUAUUUAAAAAACCACGUUUCGUUUUCUGGGGAAAAACAAGCGUUCCUUUUGGCGUAAUGUACGGAGAUGAGCGCUCCCUUCAUAAUAAUUAAGGUAAAUUAUAUCUAAAAUUAUUAAAUUAUUAGUAAGUUUAUAUUUUGAUAAUUUAAUUUUAAAAAAUUACAAAAUAAUAAUUAAACUAUUCAAAAGUAUUUAUUUAAAGCUUAGUUUGGAUGUGUGAUGCGUUUACCUUCAGGGAUGUUAAAAAUAAUAGUGACGGUAAGAUUAGUUAGUGUAGCAAUGAGAUUGUAUAUGGUAAUAUGAGAUUAAAAACAAUAAUAGGGUGUGUGUUUGAAUUCAAACACAGCGGUAACAAGGAGGUGAGAAUAAAAAAUUAUUAUUAAGGACAUUAAAUUACAUUAAAUUAUAUAUAUAUAAUAAAUAAUUAUAUUCUAUAUUAAAUAAUAUAUAUUAAUUUUUAUUUAUGUUAAAACAAAAAUUUUAUUAAUAAACAAUUACAUUACAUAUAGUCCAUAUAUCUACUUAUUUAUAAUUAAUUCAUAUAAAUUUUUAUAAUAAUAAAAUUUAUUUAUAGUUAUUAAAUUAUUAUAUAAUUCAAUUUUUUAUACGACAAAAAUAAUAAAUUAUUAUAAAUUUUAUUUAUAUAUUUAUUUUAAAAUAUAUUUAUAGUAAAUAUUAAAAUAUAAUAAAAUAAGUAUGACAAUAAACAUAUAUUUUAUGAUAAAUUUAUAUAUUUACUACAUCAACAUAUAAAAGAGUAAAAUUUAUUUAAUUACUAUAUAAUAAGAUUUGUAAUUUACUUGGAUGCCCAAAAGCCUUAUUUUCACAGUCAUAUAAAAGAUAAAGUGGUAAAAAUAUUACCCACUAUUGUUGCUUCUUGGUUACUACCGUUUGCCACUCUAGUCUAAAACUUUCUCACCAGUGUGUUGGAAGAUUUUUCAUUGGCCAAAUUUGUUGUCAUUCAAACAGGUAUAUGUGGUGCAAUUGUACUAAAAUCAAGAGUAAAUGUGCUUCAUUGGAAGCGAUUGGGUAUCCAAAUGAGUCAUAACUCGAAAGUUUUUAUUUAAAUUUUAAAAAAAAAAAAGUCUAACUAGAGAGUUCCAAACGACGAUUCGAUGAUUAGUACAAUGGAUCAAUACCCUUUAAUGAAUAGAAAAAUGCAUCUUAGAUCCAAGUCGAUCUGACGGUCAGUGUCGGAGAUCAGAGAAAAAAGCUAUUUGAAUUCUGAUUUGUAAAUUCGUGAAGUCCAAAGUUGUUUCAUGAAAACCAAAAUGAACUAUGGAAGAGAAAGAGAAGGAUAGCAUUCAAUUAGUGUAAGCGAUGCAAAACAGAAAAGAUUAUACAACAUCAACUUUAACAGCCAAUGACUUAAGUGAAAGUUUUCAAAUAAUUUGGUGACCAUUUUGUAACUUUUUGAAAUUGAGUAACCAAAAUAUAAACUUACUAAUAAUUUAAUAACCUUAAAUGGAAUUUAUCCUAAUAAUUAUUAUUCUAAAUUUAAUAUAUUUAAAAAAUUAAUUUCACAUUUUUAUAAAAAUUUAAAAACCCCAACCGAAAACCUUAAAUCCUUAAAUUCUACCCUUAAAUAUAAUUUUUAAACUUAACCAAAUUUUUUUUUAAAAAAAACACAAAAAAACCCAACAGAUAAAUACUAUAAUAUCCCUUUCUCUUACUAGGCUUUCUAUAUAUUUUAUCCAUCCCAAAUUUUUCUAAACCAUAAUUUUUCUAUUGCAAAAUCUUUCAAAUAUAAUAUAAAUGUUAAAUGAAAAAAAUUUAAACUACAUCAUUAGUCAUUAAAUUACGAAUAAAUUUUAAUUUUGAUUACUUAACUAAAAGAAAUUACAAUUUGGUCAUUAAACUAUUCGAAAGUUUCUCAUUCAAAUCAUUGAAUUAUUCAAAAAAAUUUAUGUAAGUCACUGGAUGUUAAGAUUUUUUUUUAAAUUUUCGCUAUUGAGCUCUAAGCAACGAUUUGGUAAUUGGUACAGUAAAUCAGUACCUAUCGACAAGUAGAAGAACAUAACUUAGAUAAAUUUGGAUCUAAUGGCCAGUGCAGGAGAUUAGAAAAAAAAAAGCUAUUUGAAUUUUGGUUCACAUAUUCCUGACGUCCAAAAUUAUUUCGUGCGAAAAAACUGAACUGUAGAAAAGAAUGGGAAAGAGAGCUUUGGAUUGGUGUAGGUAGUGCGAACAGAGAAAGUCAUAUAGCAUCAAUUUUAGCAGCCCCAUGACUUAAAUGAAAAUUUUCGAAUAGUCCAAUGACCAAAUUGUAACAUUUUUAGUGAAGUGACCAAAACGAAAGUUUACCCAUAGUUUAGUGACUAGUGGUAUACUUUACCCAAUAAAAAAUAAAUUUCAACUUUUAUAUUUGGUUGGAAUCUAUAUUUCGAUGUUGUUUCUUGUAAAGUUUGGUCUCUUAGCCAAGGAAGUCAAUACCUUAUUGGUGGCACACUAUUAUUCUACUGGAAGUGAUACAAAUCGAUAUUGAUUUGUUUUGGUAUACCAUUUAAAAUUAUUUAUAAAUAUUAAAUUAAUAAUAAUUAAUAAAAUUAAAAUAUAAAAUAUUUAUCAAUUACAUAAAUUACUCAUUAAUAAUCUUUAACACAUAAAAAUCUAUCAUUCAAAUAAAUUCAAAAUUAAUAAUAACCCAUCAUUUCAAUAUAAAAAUUUAAGGGUUUAGCUCUUUCUAUUUUUCUAAUAAAAGAAGUUGAGGCGUGAGUAGAGAUUUUUUCUUUUAUAAUUAUAAUCAUGUGAACGUGGUUUUUUUGAUUAUAUUUUAUUUUUAAUUAUAUUUUAAUUGUGAAAAUAUGUUCUAAAAAUAAUUUUUUUUAAAAAUUUUACAUUUUACUGUAUUUUUUUUGUUAGUCAUAUUCCAACUAGAUCUUUAAUAUAAAAAUAAAAAAUAAAAAAAUUAAUUUUUAAUAUUAUUCAUGUAUUGGUUGUUGCAGGUGUGACAAUAAUUGAUAAAAAUGAGUGAUGAAUUUUAAUUUCCAUCGGAAGAAAAAUAGAUAUUAGAUUUUCCUAUUUAGCGCCGAAACAGUAAGCAGCACCAACAGUAGAACCAGUGCGGAACCUAGAAGCAAAGCUCUAUGCUCUAAAAUCAACCUAAAAACACCUCUUGAUAUGUCAAUAAACAAAAUCGUGUCGGUUAAAAAAUAGAGUGCAUAGCACCAUGAUGACCGAGAAACGAGUGCAAUGAAAAAGCUGAAACCCAUAAUAUCUAAAAAUAUAAAGUUGAUGGGCGCAAAUCUCACAUCAAUCACACUACAAUGGCAAAAUACAAAAUAUCUGGAAUGAAGAAAAUAUAGAAAUGCAGCCUAAAAACUUGUAAUCCUUUCUAAAGCUGAGUAUACAAGGCAGGAGACAAGCGAGGUUUAGCAAGUGCAUGCAAUGGUUUGGCCAACAACGUAUCAUCUUCGGAUUCAGAGAGGUCAAUUUUGGUUACAUUGGGCGGCAUCUCCCACGUAAAACCUUGAAUCAGCCUCGCAAACAGCAUCAUCGUCACUGCGGACCCAAGUCCCACCCCUAUGCACCCUCGCCUUCCGGUCCCAAACGAAAUGAACCUCAGUUCAUUCUCUGUUAGUUCAACUCUGCCACUGCCCCACUCAUCAUUCAAAUGUCUCUCGGGCUUGAACUCCAAUGGCUCCUCCCAAACUUUCGGGUCCAAGCCUCGGCGGCUGAUCAAGACACGACUGCCUUUAGGGAUGAAGUAGCCAGCGACAGUGGUGUCGGCGUUGGAGACAUGGGGAACGUUGAAAGGUGCACUGGGGUGAAGUCGAAAGGCUUCCCUUGCACAGCAUUUAAUGUAGUUGAGUUUUGGAAUGUCAGUCUCUUCAACCAGAAUACUCUUUCCGACAACACUGUCUAUUUCGUCAGUUGCUUUUCGAAGAAUUUCAGGGUUGUUCAGCAUCUCAGCCAUUGCCCAUUCUGCUGCAUUUGCUGGAUUAUCUACUGUUGCAAGCAUUAAUUCCUGCAUAUACAAGGGGAAAAAAAAUUCUAAACUGAUAAACACAUAAAUUUUGAGCGUCUCUGGAUUAUUUCAGGUCUGACUGAGGUCGGACCCCAAAUAGAGAAAACUUUAUAUUUGUGGGGAUGUAACUUUAUAAACACAUGCUAGCUAGUUGAAAGACAAUUCCAUAUCGUUGAACAGUUUUCCCUUGCGGACAGGAAUCUCACCGAGAUUUGGGCUUUGAUCUCUUCAGCCGAAAGUGCAGGCUUCCCAUUUAAAUCCUUUGCUAAAAUGAAAGCAUCAAGCAGAUCUUGAGGUUCCUUCCUCUUCCCCUGUCCCCACUCUUUUAUUCUCUCAUCAACGAGGGGAUCAUGGUAGCCAUUCACAAUUCUCAUAGCCUCACUUACAAUCUUUUCAUGGCCCUCCAAGUCCAAUGGCCUCAGCCAAGGCACAUAAUCUGAGAGGAUGAAACUAUUGAGGUGCAUGAGAACUGUAAAUAGUGAUUCAACGUGUUGUUCUUCUUCAUAUCCAGGGCCUCCAUCUUCUCUGCCUUUCCCAAAGUAUCUUGUGUUGAACAUCAUCCUCCUUAUCACGUUCCCCGUAUAUUGCCUCACUGCUAAUCUUAGGUUUAUAACACCGCCAUGCAUGUUUUCAUGGUUGAUGCAUUGGUUGUAAAUGAACCUAACAAGGUUAUCAGCUUCUUGGGUUCUUUUAUGGAGUAACCAGCUAAGCCUUGCAGGGUUUAUAACGUUGGAAGCCAUCACUUUUCUCAUUU